Molecule: unclassified non-coding RNA, 225 nt
Filed under: fungal sp.
Lineage: Eukaryota; Fungi
Also listed under: 2 other names
Description: partial internal transcribed spacer region
Rfam family: Eukaryotic small subunit ribosomal RNA (bases 1-46)
Source: RNAcentral
AAGUCGUAACAAGGUCUCCGUUGGUGAACCAGCGGAGGGAUCAUUACCGAGUUAUUACUCCAAACCCUUUGUGAACCUUACCAUUUUGUUGCUCGGCGCACCGCGGGCCGCGGCUUCGGCCCGUCCCGCAGCGCGCCAGAGGACCCAACUCUUCAAUUUAUAGCGUACCUUCUGAUUUACAAAACAAACAAGUUAAAACUUUCAACAACGGAUCUCUUGGUUCUG